This 110-nucleotide ribosomal RNA is filed under the name Echinops telfairi (small Madagascar hedgehog). The record is from RNAcentral. Lineage: Eukaryota; Metazoa; Chordata; Mammalia; Afrosoricida; Tenrecidae.
GUCUGUGGCAUACCACCCUGGAUACACCUGACCUCAUACACUCUCUGACGUCAACCGGGGUUUGACCUGGUUAGUACUUGGAUGGGCGAAAGCUGGCUCAAGAACAGACA